UAGAGUUUGAUCCUGGCUCAGGACGAACGCUGGCGGUGCGCCUAAUGCAUGCAAGUCGAACGGGCGAAGGGGCUUCGGCCCCCUAGCUAGUGGCAGACGGCUGAGUAACACGUAAGUUACCUACCCCGAAGAGGGGGAUAAACUCGGGAAACCGGGUCUAAUACCCCGUACGUUCUUCGCACUCCGGUGCGGAGAAGAAAGGUUCCGGCCGCUUCGGGAGGGGCUUGCGGCCUAUCAGGUAGUUGGUGGGGUAAUGGCCCACCAAGCCUAAGACGGGUAACCGGUGUGAGAGCACGAUCGGUCAGAGGGGGACUGAGACACGGCCCCCACUCCUACGGGAGGCAGCAGCAGGGAAUC
This 357-nucleotide ribosomal RNA is filed under the name SAR202 cluster bacterium. Its description in RNAcentral is "bacterial SSU rRNA". It matches the Rfam family "Bacterial small subunit ribosomal RNA", at positions 1 to 363 of the family's 1533-position model. The record is from RNAcentral. Lineage: Bacteria; Bacillati; Chloroflexota; Dehalococcoidia.